Molecule: non-coding RNA, 874 nt
Organism: Pelobates cultripes (western spadefoot toad)
Lineage: Eukaryota; Metazoa; Chordata; Amphibia; Anura; Pelobatidae
Source: the annotation of a GenBank genome assembly
CUCAAAAAUACAACUUGCCUAAUAAUUCUGCACUCCCUGUAGAUAGCUUCUCCGUGUUCCUGGGACCCAGGAAUCCCAUAGGAGGUCUUUAGCCGUUGACGAUAAUUCGUCGGUACGCCAGGUUCCCCUGAAAGAGUCCAGGCCACCAAGGUCAGACGGCCGUCUGACACCAUCGGAUGUGCGUUCCCCGCCAGGUCCCGGAGUAACAUGUCGUCAUUGGUAGGAGGAUCGGGUCCUGAUAAGACAGUUCGAGAAGGUCCGGGAACCAGGGCUGACACGGCCAGAGGGGCUACAGCAGGGUUAGUCAGACCCUUCGUCUGCGAAGAUGAUUGAGAACUCUGGCAAUCAUGGCAAAUGGGGGAAAGGCAUAUGCUCCCUGCUGUGGCCAGUGUUGAGUGAAUGCAUCCACCGCUAUACAAUCCGGGUCUGGUAGCCAGCUGUAGAGUUGCGGGAGCUGCCAGUUGUUUCGUGAGGCAAACAGAUCCAGUAGAAAGGGUCCCUUCUGGUCUUGCAGAUGCGCGAAUACUCGCGGAUCCAGUUGCCAGUCGCUGGCAUCCCGCCAAUGACGGGAGUACCAAUCCGCCAUGAGGUUCGUCUCCCCCGGUAGGUGUUCUGCCCGUAGUGUGAUAUUGCGCGGGAGGCAGUAGUCGAAGAUUUCCUUCGUUAGAUGCGCCAGGGUUCUCGACCGGGUGCCCCCCAAGCGGUUGAUGUACCGUACCGCGGAUACAUUGUCCAUUCUUAAUAGUAUACAGCAGUUGGACUGCCCUUUUGUAAGGCUGCGGAUAGCAAAGGAGCCCGCUAGCAGUUCGAGGCAAUUGAUGUACAUCGAUAAUUCCUGUGGUGUCCACGUGCCCCCUGUGGACGUUUCUCCAUG